AUGAAGAUGUUUGGUCCAGUUUGUUCAGUUAUCCAAGAUAUAGCCGCCGAUGGAUCAAUUGGCUCAAUUCGUGCAGAUGCAGACACUUCUUUUGGCUACUUGUCCUCAUUUGAGUUCAUUUUUAUCUUAUGUUUGAUGAAGGAAAUCUUUGAAAUAACAGAAUUGCUUGGCCAAGCUUUACAAAAGAAAUCACAAGAUAUUGUGAAUGCUGUCCGCCUAGUUUCCUCAACAAAACAAUGUCUUCAGGAGUUGAGAUCAGAUGAUGGCUACCAAGUAUUUAUUACUACGGUUGUUGAAUUUUGUGUAAACCAUUCCAUUGACAUUCCAGACUUUGAGGAAACAUACAUCAUGCGUGGUGGUCGUGCUCGUCGUCAACCUGAUCAGUUCACCAAGGAGCAUUACUUUCGAGUGGAAAUUUUCUUCUCAACACUGGACACUCAACUAUUUGAAUUAAGCCGAAGAUUCAAUGAUAAGGUAAUGGAUCUUCUAACCAUUAGCGCCACCUUGAUUCCUACAAACAAAUUCAGAGGAUUCAAAGCUAGUGAUAUAUGUGAGAUGGUGAAAAAGUACUACCCAGCUGAUUUUCCCCAAGAUAUUUAUGGAUUACAACAGCAACUUAAGCACUUUGUUUCAGAUGCUUCCAAGGAUGAUGAUUUGAAAAACAUAUCUACCUUAAUUGAUCUAUGUCGAUGCCUUGUGGAGACAGGAAGACAUACCGUCUACAAUUUGAUUGACAGAUUACUUCGGUUGCUCGUUACCCUUCCAGUUUCUACAGCCAGUGCUGAACGCGCAUUUUCUAGUAUGAAGAUCAUUAAGACAAGAUUGCGCAAUAAGAUGGAAGAUGAGAAUCUGGCUAAUAACUUGUUAGUACACAUAGAGGGUGGAAUUCUGGAGAACUACAGUCAUGAAGAUGCCAUUGCAGAUUUUAUAAGCACGAAGGAUCGGAGAGUUGAUUUCUAG
Molecule: ribosomal RNA, 960 nt
Filed under: Triticum aestivum (bread wheat)
Lineage: Eukaryota; Viridiplantae; Streptophyta; Magnoliopsida; Poales; Poaceae
Description: partial small subunit ribosomal RNA
Source: RNAcentral